CCUACGGGGUGCUGCAGUGAGGAAUAUUGGUCAAUGGGCGCGAGCCUGAACCAGCCAAGUCGCGUGAGGGAAGACGGUCCUAUGGAUUGUAAACCUCUUUUGUCGGGGAGCAACAGACGCCACGCGUGGCGUUCCGCGCGUACCCGAAGAACAAGCAUCGGCUAACUCCGUGCCAGCAGCCGCGGUAAUACGGAGGAUGCGAGCGUUAUCCGGCUUUAUUGGGUUUAAAGGGUGCGCAGGCGGAAGAUCAAGUCAGCGGUAAAAGUGAGGGGCUGAACCUCUUCGAGCCGUUGAAACUGGUGGUCUUGAGUGAGCGAGAAGUAGGCGGAAUGCGUGGUGUAGCGGUGAAAUGCAUAGAUAUCACGCAGAACUCCGAUUGCGAAGGCAGCAUACCGGCGCGCAACUGACGCUCAUGCACGAAAGUGUGGGUAUCGAACAGGAUUAGAUACCCUAGUAGUC
RNAcentral lists this ribosomal RNA (459 nucleotides) under uncultured bacterium. Its description in RNAcentral is "partial 16S ribosomal RNA". It matches the Rfam family "Bacterial small subunit ribosomal RNA", at positions 338 to 795 of the family's 1533-position model. The record is from RNAcentral.